UACGUAGGGGGCAAGCGUUGCUCGGAAUUACUGGGCGUAAAGGGAGCGUAGGCGGAUAGUUUAGUCAGAGGUGAAAGCCCAGGGCUCAACCCUGGAAUUGCCUUUGAUACUGGCUAUCUUGAGUGUGGGAGAGGUUAGCGGAACUCCGAGUGUAGAGGUGAAAUUCGUAGAUAUUCGGAAGAACACCAGUGGCGAAGGCGGCUAACUGGCCCAUUACUGACGCUGAGGCUCGAAAGCGUGGGGAGCAAACAGG
This 253-nucleotide ribosomal RNA is filed under the name uncultured bacterium. Its description in RNAcentral is "partial 16S ribosomal RNA". It matches the Rfam family "Bacterial small subunit ribosomal RNA", at positions 524 to 776 of the family's 1533-position model. The record is from RNAcentral.